UUUGGAUAACUUCAGGAAACUGGGGCUAAUACCGGAUAGGAGCUCCUGCUGCAUGGUGGGGGUUGGAAAGUUUCGGCGGUUGGGGAUGGACUCGCGGCUUAUCAGCUUGUUGGUGGGGUAGUGGCUUACCAAGGCUUUGACGGGUAGCCGGCCUGAGAGGGUGACCGGCCACAUUGGGACUGAGAUACGGCCCAG
This 195-nucleotide ribosomal RNA is filed under the name uncultured Actinomycetales bacterium. RNAcentral's name for it is "partial 16S ribosomal RNA". It matches the Rfam family "Bacterial small subunit ribosomal RNA", at positions 138 to 334 of the family's 1533-position model. The record is from RNAcentral. Lineage: Bacteria; Bacillati; Actinomycetota; Actinomycetes; Actinomycetales.